RNAcentral lists this ribosomal RNA (254 nucleotides) under uncultured bacterium. RNAcentral describes it as "partial 16S ribosomal RNA". It matches the Rfam family "Bacterial small subunit ribosomal RNA", at positions 524 to 776 of the family's 1533-position model. The record is from RNAcentral.
UACAGAGGGUGCGAGCGUUGUUCAGAGUUACUGGGCGUAAAGGGUGUGUAGGCGGUUGUUUAAGUUUGGUGUGAAAUCUCCCGGCUCAACUGGGAGGGUGCGCCGAAUACUGAAUGACUUGGAGUGCGGGAGAGGAAAGUGGAAUUCCUGGUGUAGCGGUGAAAUGCGUAGAUAUCAGGAGGAACACCGGUGGUGUAGACGGCUUUCUGGACCGUAACUGACGCUGAGACACGAAAGCGUGGGUAGCAAACAGG